GGUUAAGCGACUAAGCGUACACGGUGGAUGCCCUGGCAGUCAGAGGCGAUGAAGGACGUGCUAAUCUGCGAUAAGCGUCGGUAAGGUGAUAUGAACCGUUAUAACCGGCGAUUUCCGAAUGGGGAAACCCAGUGUGAUUCGUCACACUAUCAUUAACUGAAUCCAUAGGUUAAUGAGGCGAACCGGGGGAACUGAAACAUCUAAGUACCCCGAGGAAAAGAAAUCAACCGAGAUUCCCCCAGUAGCGGCGAGCGAACGGGGAGGAGCCCAGAGCCUGAAUCAGUGUGUGUGUUAGUGGAAGCGUCUGGAAAGGCGCGCGAUACAGGGUGACAGCCCCGUACACAAAAAUGCACAUGCUGUGAGCUCGAUGAGUAGGGCGGGACACGUGGUAUCCUGUCUGAAUAUGGGGGGACCAUCCUCCAAGGCUAAAUACUCCUGACUGACCGAUAGUGAACCAGUACCGUGAGGGAAAGGCGAAAAGAACCCCGGCGAGGGGAGUGAAAAAGAACCUGAAACCGUGUACGUACAAGCAGUGGGAGCACGCUUAGGCGUGUGACUGCGUACCUUUUGUAUAAUGGGUCAGCGACUUAUAUUCUGUAGCAAGGUUAACCGAAUAGGGGAGCCGAAGGGAAACCGAGUCUUAACUGGGCGUUAAGUUGCAGGGUAUAGACCCGAAACCCGGUGAUCUAGCCAUGGGCAGGUUGAAGGUUGGGUAACACUAACUGGAGGACCGAACCGACUAAUGUUGAAAAAUUAGCGGAUGACUUGUGGCUGGGGGUGAAAGGCCAAUCAAACCGGGAGAUAGCUGGUUCUCCCCGAAAGCUAUUUAGGUAGCGCCUCGUGAAUUCAUCUCCGGGGGUAGAGCACUGUUUCGGCAAGGGGGUCAUCCCGACUUACCAACCCGAUGCAAACUGCGAAUACCGGAGAAUGUUAUCACGGGAGACACACGGCGGGUGCUAACGUCCGUCGUGAAGAGGGAAACAACCCAGACCGCCAGCUAAGGUCCCAAAGUCAUGGUUAAGUGGGAAACGAUGUGGGAAGGCCCAGACAGCCAGGAUGUUGGCUUAGAAGCAGCCAUCAUUUAAAGAAAGCGUAAUAGCUCACUGGUCGAGUCGGCCUGCGCGGAAGAUGUAACGGGGCUAAACCAUGCACCGAAGCUGCGGCAGCGACGCUGAUGCGUUGUUGGGUAGGGGAGCGUUCUGUAAGCCUGCGAAGGUGUGCUGUGAGGCAUGCUGGAGGUAUCAGAAGUGCGAAUGCUGACAUAAGUAACGAUAAAGCGGGUGAAAAGCCCGCUCGCCGGAAGACCAAGGGUUCCUGUCCAACGUUAAUCGGGGCAGGGUGAGUCGACCCCUAAGGCGAGGCCGAAAGGCGUAGUCGAUGGGAAACAGGUUAAUAUUCCUGUACUUGGUGUUACUGCGAAGGGGGGACGGAGAAGGCUAUGUUGGCCGGGCGACGGUUGUCCCGGUUUAAGCGUGUAGGCUGGUUUUCCAGGCAAAUCCGGAAAAUCAAGGCUGAGGCGUGAUGACGAGGCACUACGGUGCUGAAGCAACAAAUGCCCUGCUUCCAGGAAAAGCCUCUAAGCAUCAGGUAACAUCAAAUCGUACCCCAAACCGACACAGGUGGUCAGGUAGAGAAUACCAAGGCGCUUGAGAGAACUCGGGUGAAGGAACUAGGCAAAAUGGUGCCGUAACUUCGGGAGAAGGCACGCUGAUAUGUAGGUGAAGCGACUUGCUCGUGGAGCUGAAAUCAGUCGAAGAUACCAGCUGGCUGCAACUGUUUAUUAAAAACACAGCACUGUGCAAACACGAAAGUGGACGUAUACGGUGUGACGCCUGCCCGGUGCCGGAAGGUUAAUUGAUGGGGUUAGCGCAAGCGAAGCUCUUGAUCGAAGCCCCGGUAAACGGCGGCCGUAACUAUAACGGUCCUAAGGUAGCGAAAUUCCUUGUCGGGUAAGUUCCGACCUGCACGAAUGGCGUAAUGAUGGCCAGGCUGUCUCCACCCGAGACUCAGUGAAAUUGAACUCGCUGUGAAGAUGCAGUGUACCCGCGGCAAGACGGAAAGACCCCGUGAACCUUUACUAUAGCUUGACACUGAACAUUGAGCCUUGAUGUGUAGGAUAGGUGGGAGGCUUUGAAGUGUGGACGCCAGUCUGCAUGGAGCCGACCUUGAAAUACCACCCUUUAAUGUUUGAUGUUCUAACGUGGACCCGUAAUCCGGGUUGCGGACAGUGUCUGGUGGGUAGUUUGACUGGGGCGGUCUCCUCCUAAAGAGUAACGGAGGAGCACGAAGGUUGGCUAAUCCUGGUCGGACAUCAGGAGGUUAGUGCAAUGGCAUAAGCCAGCUUGACUGCGAGCGUGACGGCGCGAGCAGGUGCGAAAGCAGGUCAUAGUGAUCCGGUGGUUCUGAAUGGAAGGGCCAUCGCUCAACGGAUAAAAGGUACUCCGGGGAUAACAGGCUGAUACCGCCCAAGAGUUCAUAUCGACGGCGGUGUUUGGCACCUCGAUGUCGGCUCAUCACAUCCUGGGGCUGAAGUAGGUCCCAAGGGUAUGGCUGUUCGCCAUUUAAAGUGGUACGCGAGCUGGGUUUAGAACGUCGUGAGACAGUUCGGUCCCUAUCUGCCGUGGGCGCUGGAGAACUGAGGGGGGCUGCUCCUAGUACGAGAGGACCGGAGUGGACGCAUCACUGGUGUUCGGGUUGUCAUGCCAAUGGCACUGCCCGGUAGCUAAAUGCGGAAGAGAUAAGUGCUGAAAGCAUCUAAGCACGAAACUUGCCCCGAGAUGAGUUCUCCCUGACUCCUUGAGAGUCCUGAAGGAACGUUGAAGACGACGACGUUGAUAGGCCGGGUGUGUAAGCGCAGCGAUGCGUUGAGCUAACCGGUACUAAUGAACCGUGAGG
Molecule: ribosomal RNA, 2895 nt
Filed under: Escherichia coli
Lineage: Bacteria; Pseudomonadati; Pseudomonadota; Gammaproteobacteria; Enterobacterales; Enterobacteriaceae
Description: partial 23S ribosomal RNA
Rfam family: Bacterial large subunit ribosomal RNA
Source: RNAcentral